UACGGAGGGUGCGAGCGUUGUCCGGAAUCAUUGGGCGUAAAGGGCGCGUAGGUGGCGGGACAAGCGUGCGGUGAAAGCCUGGGGCUCAACCCCGGGUCGGCCGUGCGAACUGUUUUGCUUGAGCACUGUAGAGGCAGGCGGAAUUCCGGGUGUAGCGGUGGAAUGCGUAGAGAUCCGGAAGAACACCGGUGGCGAAGGCGGCCUGCUGGGCAGUAGCUGACACUGAGGCGCGACGGCGUGGGGAGCAAACAGG
This 253-nucleotide ribosomal RNA is filed under the name uncultured bacterium. Its description in RNAcentral is "partial 16S ribosomal RNA". It matches the Rfam family "Bacterial small subunit ribosomal RNA", at positions 524 to 776 of the family's 1533-position model. The record is from RNAcentral.